This 1624-nucleotide ribosomal RNA is filed under the name human gut metagenome. RNAcentral describes it as "eukaryotic LSU rRNA". It matches the Rfam family "Eukaryotic large subunit ribosomal RNA", at positions 704 to 2351 of the family's 3401-position model. The record is from RNAcentral.
CUCUUCCGAUCUAUAAUGAAAGUAAGAGGUGUGAAACUUUUGAAGUGUCAACAUCUGCCGAUCAUAAUUCUUUGAUGAAAGAUUCGAGUAUGAGCAUAUAGGGUGGGACCCGAAAGAUGGUGAACUAUGCCUGAGCGAGGCGAAGCCAGAGGAAACUCUGGUGGAGGCCCGAAGCGAUACUGACGUGCAAAUCGUUCGUCUGACUUGGGUAUAGGGGCGAAAGACUAAUCGAACCAUCUAGUAGCUGGUUCAUUCCGAAAUUUCCCUCAGGAUAGCUGCAACUUUUGAAAUAGUUUUAUGAGGUAAAGCGAAUGAUUAGAGGUUUCUGGGAUGGAAUAUCCUGGACCUAUUCUCAAACUUUCAAUGGGUAAGAAAUCGGGGAUGUUUAAUUAAUCUCUGAGUUUGAAUAUGAGUUGCAAGUGGGCCAUUCCGGGUAAGCUGGACUGGCAAUGCGGGAUCAACCGAACGCUAUGUUACGGUGCCUUAUUAUUCGCUCAGUUCGAUGUAAAAGGUGUUAGUUCAUCUAGACAGCAGGACGGUGGCCAUGGAAGUCGGAAUCCGCUAAGGAGUGUGUAACAACUCACCUGCCGAAUGAAGUAGCCCUGAAAAUGGAUGGCGCUAAAGCGAAUAACCUAUACAUAGCCAACACAAUUAGGAUUGUAUGGUGUUGAGUAGGAAUGCGUGAUGAAUGUUGUGAAGUAUAUCGUGUGAACGAAUAUGGAACAUUCAUUAGUGCAGAUCUUGGUGGAAGUAGCAAAUAUUCAAAUGAGAUCUUUGAAGACUGAAGUGGAGAAAGGUUCCAUAGGAAUAGUGAUUAUCUAUGGGUUAGUCGAUCCUAAGAGAUAAGUGAAAUCUGUUGAAAGUAUAACAUUUGGUUAUAAGUUAUCGAAAGGGAAUCAGGUUAAUAUUCCUGAACCAAAUAGUAUAAGAAACGGUAACGUAUAUUCCUCUUGAGACAUUUCUAUUAUUCCCAGGAAGAGUUUUCUUUUCUUGUUAACAAUAUUUGAGUGCUUGGAAUUAAUUCAGUUAGCGAUAAGCAUUGAAUAUUGGUAAAGUAGUAUACUAUUGUAUAUUAUCUGGUGCAAUGAUAGGGAUCCUUGAAAAUGAAGAGGUAAAAUCUUAGAAUAUUUGGUCGUACUAAUAACCGCAUCAGGUCUCCAAGGUGAAUAGCCUCUAGUUAAUAGAAUAAUGUAGAUAAGGGAAGUCGGCAAAUUAGAUCCGUAACUUCGGGAAAAGGAUUGGCUCUGAGGGCUAAGUGGAUAUGAGUGUUAGGUAUGUGUUGGUGUAGUGUUCGUGUUGUUUUUGAUGGCUUCGGUUGUUGAGAAUGACGCUUGCAUAGCAUCUACCCAUCCUGUCACUCUCCCACUAUGAAUAGCUAACUCAGAACUGGUACGGACAAGGGGAAUCCGACUGUUUAAUUAAAACAAAGCAUUGUGAUAGUGUGAAAGAUAUAUUGACACAAUGUGAAUUCUGCCCAGUGCUCUGAAUGUCAAAGUGGCGUAAUUCAACCAAGCGCGGGUAAACGGCGGGAGUAACUAUGACUCUCUUAAGGUAGCCAAAUGCCUCGUCAUCUAAUUAGUGACGCGCAUGAAUGGAUUAACGAGAUUCCCACUGUCCCUGUCUA